Molecule: ribosomal RNA, 468 nt
Filed under: uncultured bacterium
Lineage: Bacteria
Description: partial 16S ribosomal RNA
Rfam family: Bacterial small subunit ribosomal RNA
Source: RNAcentral
GACGAACGCUGGCGGCGUGCUUAACACAUGCAAGUCGAACGGAAAGGCCCUGCUUUUGUGGGGUGCUCGAGUGGCGAACGGGUGAGUAACACGUGAGUAACCUGCCCUUGACUUUGGGAUAACUUCAGGAAACUGGGGCUAAUACCGGAUAGGAGCUCCUGCUGCAUGGUGGGGGGUGGAAAGUUUCGGCGGUUGGGGAUGGACUCGCGGCUUAUCAGCUUGUUGGGGGGGUAGUGGCUUACCAAGGCUUUGACGGGUAGCCGGCCUGAGAGGGUGACCGGCCACAUUGGGACUGGGAUACGGCCCAGACUCCUACGGGAGGAAGCAGUGGGGAAUAUUGCACAAUGGGCGGAAGCCUGAGGAAGCAACGCCGCGGGCGGGAUGACGGCCUUCGGGUUGUAAACCGCUUUCGCCUGUGACGAAGCGUGAGUGACGGUAAUGGGUAAAGAAGCACCGGCUAACUACGUG